CCUUUUUUGUAUAGCAGUAUAAAAUUUGAAAGUAAAAAUUGGUUUAAAGUAAAGAUUUUAUCGUUGAUUACGUCAUGAAUUUUGAAGAUUUAUUGCAAUAUUAGAAUUUAUUGCAUGCUAAUUUUUGGUUACUUUCUGUGGGAAAUAUUAUAUUGCUAUGCAAUAAUAUUAUUUAUCUGUAAAUUUAUGUAAAUAUUCAUUAUACAGUGUGUAUUAUAUUAAAAAUGCAUUGAAGUUAAAACUCUCUGUUCAUCGAUUAUCAUAUGAAUUAUGUAUCGGCAGAACAAACCGACGAAGCACAGCACAUUUUCUAUAAUAAUCAAUAAUGUUAUGAUAAUGAUAAAGUGUUUUAUUGAAAGUAACUUGAAUCUAUCAAUGAAAAGAAUGUUGAUAUUUAAACGUUUUCAAAUUAGCAAAAGUAGACAUUUGAUAUCUUCAAUUAGAAUAUGCCAAAAUACCAGUAAAAAGACUCGGACAUUAGAACGACAAUUUAUGUGUCUAUUUUCACUUCUAAUAUCAAAUUUGUCAUUAUUCCAUUACAAGUGAAGACAUAUUUCACUACAGGAAAUCUAUCAUCCUUAAACAUGUGUUCGUUGCGGGUGUCAGAGGAUGAUUCUUUGAUGUACCAGACAAGUCUGCGCCGAAUUAAAAAAAAAAGCGACUUCAUUAAUUUUUGUAAUUAAAAUGCAAAUUUGGCGAAUUUAAUUUUCAGCAGAAUAUUAUAACUUUAUAGAUGAAUUAAACAAGUAUACACCUCAUCCUUUCGUAUGAACCAAGGG
RNAcentral lists this long non-coding RNA (779 nucleotides) under Mytilus galloprovincialis (Mediterranean mussel). The record is from RNAcentral. Lineage: Eukaryota; Metazoa; Mollusca; Bivalvia; Mytilida; Mytilidae.